UGUUUGUGUAGUGUGUGUAUAUAAUGCAGUGUGUUUGUGUAGUGUGCAUUAUAUAAACAAACACACUACAUUUUAUACACACACUACACAAAC
Pelobates cultripes (western spadefoot toad) is the source of this 93-nucleotide non-coding RNA. The record is from the annotation of a GenBank genome assembly. Lineage: Eukaryota; Metazoa; Chordata; Amphibia; Anura; Pelobatidae.